AAAAUCCGUUGACUUUAGAAAUCGUGAGGGUUCAAGUCCCUCUAUCCCCAAAAAAAGGUCGAUUUGAUCCCCCAACUAUUUCUCCUACCCUCUCGUUUUUUUUUAGUGAUUCAAAAUUCGUUAUUUUUCUCAUUCAUCCUACUUUUUUACAAACGUAUCUGAGCAGGAUUUUUUUCUUUUAUCACAAUCACAAGUUGUGUGGUAUAUAUGAUAUACGUACAAAUGAACAUCCUUGAGCAAAGAAUCCCGAUUCACAAUCCAUAUCCUUGCUCAUACUGAAACUAAUAAAGUAUUCUUUUUGAAAAUUCAAGAAAAAAAAAUUCCCCGUUCAAGACUUUUAAUACUUUUUUCGUCUUUUUUAAUUGACAUAGACCCCAGUCAUCUAGUAAAAUGAGGAUGAUGCGUCGGUAAUGGUCGGGAUAGCUCAGUGGUAGAGCAGAGGACUGAAAAUCCUCGUGUCACC
This 463-nucleotide transfer RNA is filed under the name Koelreuteria paniculata (golden rain tree). RNAcentral describes it as "partial transfer RNA-Leu". The stretch from base 414 to 463 matches the Rfam family "tRNA", at positions 1 to 49 of the family's 71-position model. Lineage: Eukaryota; Viridiplantae; Streptophyta; Magnoliopsida; Sapindales; Sapindaceae. The record is from RNAcentral.